RNAcentral lists this ribosomal RNA (434 nucleotides) under uncultured bacterium. RNAcentral's name for it is "partial 16S ribosomal RNA". It matches the Rfam family "Bacterial small subunit ribosomal RNA", at positions 29 to 507 of the family's 1533-position model. The record is from RNAcentral.
AGCGAACGCUGGCGGCAGGCCUAACACAUGCAAGUCGAACGAACCUUUCGGGGUUAGUGGCGGACGGGUGAGUAACACGUGGGAACGUGCCUUUAGGUUCGGAAUAACUCAGGGAAACUUGUGCUAAUACCGAAUGUGCCCUUCGGGGGAAAGAUUUAUCGCCUUUAGAGCGGCCCGCGUCUGAUUAGCUAGUUGGUUGAGGUAAUGGCUCACCAAGGCGACGAUCAGUAGCUGGUCUGAGAGGAUGAUCAGCCACAUUGGGACUGAGACACGGCCCAAAAUCCUACGGGAAGCAGCAGUGGGGAAUCUUGCGCAAUGGGCGAAAGCCUGACGCAGCCAUGCCGCGUGAAUGAUGAAGGUAUUAGGAUUGUAAAAUUCUUUCACCGGGGACGAUAAUGACGGUACCCGGAGAAGAAGCCCCGGCUAACUACGUG